Molecule: ribosomal RNA, 253 nt
Filed under: uncultured bacterium
Lineage: Bacteria
Description: partial 16S ribosomal RNA
Rfam family: Bacterial small subunit ribosomal RNA
Source: RNAcentral
UACGUAGGGUGCAAGCGUUGUCCGGAAUUACUGGGCGUAAAGGGCUCGUAGGCGGCCAACUAAGUCGGAUGUGAAAUCCCCAGGCUUAACCUGGGAACUGCAUCCGAUACUGGAUGGCUUGAAUUCGGGAGAGGGAUGCAGAAUUCCAGGUGCAGCGGUGAAAUGCGUAGAUAUCUGGAGGAAUACCGGUGGCGAAGGCGGCAUCCUGGACCGAGAUUGACGCUGAUGAGCGAAAGCUAGGGGAGCAAACGGG